Molecule: small nuclear RNA, 303 nt
Filed under: Prolemur simus (greater bamboo lemur)
Lineage: Eukaryota; Metazoa; Chordata; Mammalia; Primates; Lemuridae
Description: 7SK RNA (ENSPSMG00000022486.1)
Rfam family: 7SK RNA
About the family: 7SK was discovered as an abundant small nuclear RNA in the mid-70s but a possible function has only recently been suggested. Two independent studies have found that 7SK RNA binds the CDK9/cyclin T complex (known as elongation factor P-TEFb).
Source: Rfam by way of RNAcentral
AAACGUAAGGGUGAUCUGGCUGUGACAUUUGUCACCCCAUUGAUCGCCAGGGUGCAUUCAGCUGAUCUGUCUGGCUAGCAUGUGUCCCCUUCCUCCCUCACUGCUUCAUGUGUGUCCCUCCUGAAGCUGCAUACUUGGUUGAAAAACAUGACCUUUCCCAAUAAAGGAGGACUGUUCUUUGGUCAAAGGUAUACAAGUAUCUGUGCUCCCCUGCUAGAAUCUCCACACCAGCGCUCAAGGUGAAGGUCUCACUGUGCGCUACAUGGUGAGAGUAGAUGACAUCACACAGCCAUCAGCCCUGUU